Hibiscus syriacus is the source of this 982-nucleotide long non-coding RNA. RefSeq lists it as uncharacterized. The transcript is spliced from 3 exons. The record is from RefSeq and is a predicted model, not a curated record. NCBI's taxonomy places the organism in Eukaryota, Viridiplantae, Streptophyta, Magnoliopsida, Malvales, Malvaceae.
CUGAUGAAAAAAGCAGGGCCUUGUUGCCUUUUGUGAACUAGGCUCUUGUAAGCUUCAGGAAAAUUACUUGUGCAUUGUUAUUGGGUGAACCUCUGGAUUUUAUUGGUGCCUGAAGGUUCAGUAAAUGAUGCUACAUUUUGUAAUCCUCUGUAAGGAUUUUAGUGUUUUGAUGUUUGUUUGGUUUGGUUUUAGGCCGAGUUUUGUAUUCUUAAACCUGAUGAAAAAAAGCAGGUCCUUGUUGCCUUUUGUGAACUUGGUUCUCGUAAGCUUCAGGAAAAUUACUUGUGCAUUGUUCUUGGGUGAAUCUCUGGUUGUUAAUGGUGCCUGAAGGUUCAGUAAAUAAUGCUACAUUUUGUAGUCCUCUGUAAGGAAUUUAGUGUCCUGAUGUUCGUUUGAUUUGGUUUUAGGCCGAGUUUUGUAUUGUUAAACCUGAUGAAAAAAAGCAGGGCCUUGUUGCCUUUUGUGAACUAGGUUCUCGUAAGCUUCAGGAAAAUUACUUGUGCAUUGUUCUUGGGUGAAUGUCUGGUUGUUAAUGGUGCCUUAAGGUUCAGUAAAUAAUGAUACAUUUUGUAGUCCUCUGUAAGGAAUUUAGUUUUUGGACUGAUAUGAUAUGAGUUAAAAAAUUUCUUGAGGUGUUCUGAUGUUGGUUUGGUUUGGUUUUAGGCUGAGUUUUGUAUUCUUAAACCUGAUGAAAAAAAAGCAGGGCCUUGUUGCCUUUUGUGAACUAGGUUCUCGUAAGCUUCAGGAAAAUUACUUGUGCAUUGUUCUUGGGUGAAUCUCUGGUUGUUACUGGUGCCUGAAGGUUCAGUAAAUAAUGCUACAUUUUGUAGUCCUUUAUAAGGAAUUUAGUUUUUGGACUGAUAUGAUAUGAGUUAAAAACUUUCUUGAGGUGUUUUGAUGUUUGUUUGGUUUGGUUUUAGGCCGAGUUUUGUAUUCUUAAACCUGAUGAAAAAAAGCAGGUCCUUGUUGCCUUUUUUGAACU